GCCAGUGGAGAUGCUGCCUACUGCAGUGUGGAGAAUGGAUUGGAGGGGUCAGAAUGAAUGUAGAGAGAAUUCAAAGGCUCCUGCAGGAGUCCAAGCAAGAGGAUUGCAGAUUGUAGCCUGGAAGAGGCCAGUAGCUGUGGUGACAAUGGACACCAGGUGGAUAUGUUGGAGAGACACUUAGAAGGGUCUCACUCUGUCACCCAGACUGGAGUACACUGGUGUGAUCUCGGCUCACUGCAACCUCCGCCUCCCAGGCUCAAGUGAUUCUCCUGCCUCAGCCUCUCGAGUAGCUGGAAUUACAAGCAUGUGCCACUACCACCCUGCUAAUUUUUGUAUUUUUAGUAGAGAUGCGGUUUCACCAUGUUGGCCAGGCUGGCCUUGAACUCAUGACCUUAAAUGAUCCACCCGCCUCAGCCUCCCAAGUGCUGGGAUUUUAGGUGUGAGCCACUCGCCUGGCAGGUGAUUAUUUAAAAGCAGAAGUAGUAUAAUCAUAUUUUUUUGUAAAUAGCUUUUUAAAAAUGGAUGGGAAAUAAUAUUUGGAAGUGGAGUUGUUGAACUACCUCUGUGAACAGCAUACUCUCUCUAAUUGUUCAUUGGGUUGAGGGUGGUGAGAGGGAAGAAAUUGCAAAAGUUGCUUUGCUAGUGUUUAUUAGCACGUUGUGCACGUGUAUCCUAAAACUUAAAGUAUAAUAAUAAUAAAAUUUUAAAAAAAGGUUUUAAAAAAAAAGAAAAUUUCAGCUUAAUCCAUUGCCUGUAUGUUACAUGCGUUUCAUUUACCUUUGCUGUACUGUAUAUAUUGUGUAUAUACUGAACAAAUGAGUCCUAAUUUUAUAAUAUUUAGUCGAGUCUCUAGAGAGUAAAAAGGUUGCCAAUGUAUGACAGAAAGAGUUAGUAAACUAGCAUAAGUUGUAUGCUUUGUUAAAAUUCACAGAAAGACUGUCUUCUGAAAAGGACUUUUGGGAGUGAAAUAACAUCAGCUCUAAGUGACUCAUGUGCCUAUAUCCACCUGGUUGGUGGUGAAGAGGAGUUGAAAGGAAUGAAGGAUUCUAGGACAGAAGGUUCCUAUUGAGAAGACACUUUCGGCUAUAACCACUGUUACGUGUGUGUAAUUUAUUCAACACUACUGUGUAUAUAACGGACAAACAAAUCAUAUUUAAAACAUCAUCUAGUCUUUUUAGAUGUUUAGAAGUGCACAAAGUAUGUUAAAAGUAGAGGUAAAUAACACAUUUUGUAGAUAUCCUUUUGAUGUGAAAUAUUGUCUUUUGGAAAUUGAGCAAACCAAUUCCCUGAGCCGUACACAUUAUUAUAUCUGUGUCAGUUUGGGGAGGAAGGAGGAGCAGAAAGUACAAAGGGCUUUUCACCAGUGUGUUUAUGGUGAGGCACAUUGACUAUUAUCUUUUUUUUUUUUUUUUUGAGACGACGUCUCGCUCUGUCACCAAGCUGGGGUGCAGUGGCGCAAUCUUGGCUCUCUGCAACCUCUGCCUCCUGUAUUCAAGCGAUUCUCCUGCCUCAGCCUCCAGAGUACCUGGGACUACAGGUGUGCACCACCACACCCAGCUAAUUUUUGUAUUUUUAGUAGAGAAGGAGUUUCACCAUGUUUGCCAGGAUGGUCUUGAUCUAAGUCUGCAUUUUCUUUGUGCUGUGUAGAUAGCGUACAUAAGAGGACAAACCAAUCCUAAUCUAUAUCAUCUAGUCUUUGUAGAUGUUAGAGAGGUCCAGUGCGUGACAAAAGUAGAUUUAGUGAAUUAAAACACUGAGUACGUUUUGUGUUAAAAUUCAUAGGGAAGACUGUUGUUAAAAACAUAGAAGUGUGAGCCACCGCACCUGGCCAAUAGUGGGUAUUAAAAGAUAAACAAGUCUUAAUGCUCAAAGUAUGUUAAAAAUAGAUGUAGUAAAACAAUCCGUCUACAAAUGUUCUUUUGUUAUAUUUUAGGAGGCCUGUCUUCUGGGAGUGACCUUUGUUAUUCCACCUCUUGGAGCUAGGCAUAGUCCUAUACCUAGUCACUGGGAUGGUGGAAGAGGGAGAAAAGGAAGGAUGAAGGAAAGAGCUAUUUGCUAGUAUCUCCACAUCUAGAAGAUGGUUUUAGAUGAUAACCAUAGGUCUACAUGAGCAUUUUUAGUAAAGUGCUUGUGUGUAAUUCUGGACAAAGUUUAUUAUUUUGCACUAUCUAAGCUUUAUGAAUGUCCUGGGGUGAUAAUGUGUGAUAAAAAGUAGAACUAGUGAAUUAGCCAAUUUGUAAAUUUUUUCUUGUUAUAAUUUAUAGAAAAGAUGCAACUUGGACAUGGAACUGUUAAACCAUCUCUGAGCUUUGUAUGCCAGGACUUGUUCAUUAGGUUGGCAGCAGAGCAGCAAAAGGAAGUAUAAAGAGAGAGAUGUAUGCAGAUGUGUCGAUAUUUACAUUUUGAUGAUAGCCAUUGUUGUAUGUGCAUCUCUUUUAGCUGUACUAUAGGAAUACAUUAGGUAUUUCAAUGAAAACAUACCUUGCUAAUAUUUGAAUAGUAUAGAUCUGCUAAUGGAUUCUCUUAGAAACAUUAUACUUAGUGUAUUCUAUUGCUGUAUAUUUCAUUUUAAAGUGAGCACUAAAGGAAUGCGGUAUUUUAAUAAAAACUCUGCCAACGCUUUUACUUAGAGGCGUGUUGCCAAUUUUUGUCUUUUAUGAAAAUUUGGCCCAAGAAAGGCAGGAUUACAUUGUUUUUCCAACAGAUUGAGUGGGUGUAGUGUAUUCUUGAUGAUCAAAAUACUCAUAUAGCUUUGAGAUUUUGAAUUGGUAAAUACUCAAGAUGUGUGAAAAAGCAUGAUACAUACUAUAUGAUCUCAGUCCCAUAAAAUUGACUAUUGUAUCUACACCCACACAGGACCUAGAAGGACAUGUUAAACUGUAAACUGCUUGUGAUUGUGGAUGACCUUUUUCGUUGCUUCUUGUGUUUUUCAGUUUCCUAUAAUGCACAUAGUAACUUAAAAAAAUAAAGAUUAUUUUUGAAACCUAAAAAAAAGAGGUUACAGAAUUGAAUACUCCCUGAGAUAAGGUAAAAUCAUCUUAUGCUAACGGUUGCAAGAUAAUGGUAUAAGUAAGCUUUCGUCGUACAUAUCAAUGAACUUUAAGAUUUGGAAGACAAAAUUCAGUUUAUGUAUUCAAUUAAAUGUGCUCAGAUUGUAUUGUGCUAGAUAGGCACAUUAUUCUAACAUAAUAUGAAUGAAUCAAUAAAAUCCUUAUAAUACUGAUG
Molecule: long non-coding RNA, 3225 nt
Filed under: Homo sapiens (human)
Lineage: Eukaryota; Metazoa; Chordata; Mammalia; Primates; Hominidae
Description: non-protein coding lnc-ALDH1B1-13:1
Source: RNAcentral